AAACAAUGAUGUGGAUAGCUCCUCAAUAAAUCUUUGAAUCGUUCCUAACAAUCAUAAAAAGUUUCAUUCUCCUGUUGGAGAAACCCAGUUAUGUCAUUUCCCAACUU
Ricinus communis (castor bean) is the source of this 107-nucleotide non-coding RNA. The record is from Rfam. NCBI's taxonomy places the organism in Eukaryota, Viridiplantae, Streptophyta, Magnoliopsida, Malpighiales, Euphorbiaceae.